CCCUUAGAUGUUCUGGGCCGCACGCGCGUUACACUGAUGCAUUCAACGAGUUCUUCCUUGGCCGAGAGGCCUGGGCAAUCUUUUGAACGUGCAUCGUGAUAGGGAUAGAUUAUUGAAAUUAUUAAUCUUGAACGAGGAAUUCCUAGUAAACGCAGAUCAUCAAUCUGCAUUGAUUACGUCCCUGCCCUUUGUACACACCGCCCGUCGCACCUACCGAUUGGAUGGUCCGGUGAAGCCUCGGGAUUGUGGUUCUUGCCGCUUUAUUGUGGCGUGACCGCGAGAACUUGUCUAAACCUUAUCAUCUAGAGGAAGGUGAAGUCGUAACA
RNAcentral lists this ribosomal RNA (326 nucleotides) under uncultured eukaryote. RNAcentral's name for it is "partial 18S ribosomal RNA". It matches the Rfam family "Eukaryotic small subunit ribosomal RNA", at positions 1470 to 1796 of the family's 1831-position model. The record is from RNAcentral.